UGGGCUCGAUAGGGCGCGGGCGAAUCGCUUUCGGCAGCGAAGGAACGUGUCGGGAGAAGCCAACCACAGGACCAGGGCCCUAGCGGGCGCGCGGAGACGCCUGCCUUGGGCGGAGGUCCCCCCCUCCAGUUUUCGUGGCUCUGGCAGGGCCCUCUGUCCCGUGAGCUCCCCACUGGACCUGUGGCUCCAGGCUUCAGCAGGUCAAGCGCCCGAGUGUGCCUGGAGGAUUGGCGGCGGGGUGGCAUGAGAAAGUGGCCCCUCUUCUCCAUCUCCCAGUCCGGCGAUUUCUCUGCUGUCUGGGGCAGGGGCGCACACCCCAGGAACUUACCACCUAGAGGGAAGCCAGCCUGGUAUCUCCCCCUUGCCUCAGUGCUCCCAAGCUGCCCCUCACCACUCUGGGUAGGGGUCUUUCAGGUGGGCUAGGGAAUUCUCCUUGGAAGGCCCCCUGUCUGCUGCCCUCCAUCAGGGCACCUGUGAGUUAGCCGGUCAUCCCCUUUUCUGGCCUCUUUUUUGCGGGGAGGAGAGUAGAGAGGGAAGCCUCCUACUCGGCAGGUCUCUGAGAGGAGGUUUGGGGGGACUUCUGAGGUUGCCCCUCCUGGGCAGAGUCAAGGGGUGUUGAGGGUUCCAACUUUUACUGGACAAUCUCUCAAGCUCGAACUCCCUGAUUUCUGGGAGGUUUCAGUGUAGGGCUUGUGUCCUGCCCCCACCCACACAGCAUUUGGUGCAGGCACAUAGGAUGGUUCCCCAAGCCCUUUUUCCACAGUUAGUUUCAGAAAAUGCAUAAGCCACCUAAGGCUGGGAGAGCCUUUCUGUGCUGCCUGAGAUCUGGUGGCAUGUGCAUGCAUGUGUGUGCAAGUGUGUGUGUGUGCAAGUGUGUGUGCGCAUGUGCAUGUGUGUGGAAAUGGUCUGGGUGGCUGUAAGACUGGCCCCUCUAGUCCCCUCUGCAGGCCCAGCCCAAUAAGAAGCACCUGAUCCACACUCUUUCUAGCCCCAGGGAUGCUCAGGGAAGCAGCCCUUCUUGAGGGCUGUCAUCUGUUCUGGGGAUCUAUGGCUGCUUCUUGGGCCCACAGACUAUACUCCAUACCUCCGGACUCCAUAAUAUUGGACAAGGCUGGAAGGCCCAUUUGGCUCCUGCAGCCUCUUGUGCAGUUGAGGACAGACCCAGGGUGCAGGUGAUACUGGCCUUUGGGACACAGAACCUGGCUCAGUAACUCCCACUCCGGUCGCCUUUUCCCUCUUCUCAACCCUCUCUCCUCCGGAGCAACACUUGUCCCUCCUUCCUUCCUCUCUCUAGGGCUGCACCCCCAGCUCACCUUAGACCUGGCCCUUCCUACCUGUUGCCCCUACUGUCUUGUCCUGUCCCAGUGGUCAGGAGGGAGAGUACUGGCCAAAGGCCCAGCUCCACCUGUGACUCAGGGAAGCACCAGGCAUCACCCAGAGGUCUCGGUCCCCAGAGGCCUGGCAGGCUCUGCUGUGGGGGAAGCAGAGUUUGAACUGGGGCUGCUUCUCCUGCCCUGCAACCUGACUGGGCCUCCCCCGCCUCCCUUUCUGUCUGCCCUCUUACAAUUCCAGCAGGGGGCGGGCAGGGGAAAGAAAAGGAGGGACAAGUUGGACGGGGUCCAUUUGGUGUCCAGGAACAACUUGGAGAGAGGCAGGGAGGGGACAGGCAGCAGGGCCCUGGCAGAGCGAGGGGAGGGCUGGCCUUUGGAUGGCGUUCUGAUCCCAAACACAUCCUCCUGGGGCAGUCUGCCCUUGAAAGGUAGGGCUUGGUGAACCCUGGUGCAGGGCCCCCCUGCCCUCGCCACCUCACUGCCCCAGUGUGGGGCAUGGUAGACGGGUUUGCAAUGGGUGCAGUCUCUCUCUCCAUUCCAGUAGAGCAGCUCCCAGGGCCCAGAGAGGCUGUCACUGAGACUUCCCUCUGGGGUGGGGUGGGUCCUGGUGGCCCUGCGUUCCCCUGCAGGAGGACCUCCUGAGGCUUCGGGCAGGAGCUGGUGCACACCUGGAGGAGAGUGCUGGUGAACGACAGGUGUGUGCCUCAGUGUUCUUGCUGCCUGGGUGUCAACCCUGCUUCAUCACUGGCCCUUUGUUUCCGUCCCCUCCACUGACCUCUUAAAGCACAGAGACCCUCCGGGUACUUUCCUUCCUCUGGGCUUCCGCUCGUGCUAUUCCCUGCUCCCUUCUUCUACCUGGAGACCCCCAUUCCUCCUCCUUCUCCACUGCCCUCACCUCCACCUGGGCCCUCUCAGCUCCCGGGAGAUGGCUGAGCCCCACUCCCCGCCCGCUAGUCAUCCUCUUCAGCGGUCCUCCCGGAGCUGUCCUCGGCAUGGCAGCCUCCACAGCCCCUGGGUUUCACCCCUGGUUUCCAGUCUGUCUUGGACUCCAGACCUGCCCCUCCCACGCUGGCCCAGAUGGAUCCUCUGCAGUGACUAACCCGAACCGGCACCGGGUGAGGACCCAAUAAACCUUUGUGAAUGGAGUAAUUGAGUGCGGUGUGUACUUACUGAAAACUCCUUGUUUGGGGAGAAACUCAGGGUAUUUCACUCUGUCCUUUCGUGCACCUGCAGCAGUGAGCUGGGGCAGCAUGUCGGCAGCCAGGGCUGAGAACCAUUGGUCAGGACCUGCCGCUGUGAGCAGACAACACUUCCUGGGAAGUCCCCUUGGGGCGUGGUGUCUGGUGAAUGCACCUGUCACCUGGUCACCGGGCCAAUCUGUUUCCCUUUCUGGGCUAAACAGGUCUUCCCGGGUACCUGGGCCCUCCCAUGGAGGUGUUUACACUUCUCAUUUGCUUCAAAAAUGAAUUCUUCUAUCCACACGCUUGUCUAGGUUGAGCAUGGGGACACCCUGCAGGGGACGGGGUGGGAGAUGGCCGAGGGACCCAGAGCUCUGGUCUGAGAGGUGUCCUCAACAUGACAGAUCUUCAUCCCUUUGAAAGUUUGAGGCAGGCAUGGGGGAGGUGGCAGGACUCUGGGGUGACUGGGCAGGCUGGGAUCCCAGCCAGGACGGCUUGUCAGGGCCCCAGGGCCUGGAUCUAGCAGGGGUGUUUGGCAGCAUUUGGGGGUUGGAGAAGGUCUGGGGCUCCCGGCCAAGGAAAGGAGAAGGCCUAGGAGGCAGUGCCCUGGCUACUUGCUGUGUGACCCUGGGCAUCUCUGGCCCCUUCUCAGGUCUCAUCUGCAUCAGGUGUGGGUUGGGUGGCGACUUUCCAGUGCCUUUCCCAUGCGGUCAUUCUGCAGGCCAGAAGGUUCUAGGAAGUUCUAGGAGACCCUGUUCUGGCCCUGCCUGCUGUUCUGCAGCUGCUGAGAGCCCCACUUGAGGAUGAAGGUGCCCCAGUGCUGGUCCUACCUGGCCUCAUGCUCUGCCACUUCCACCCAGUACCGCCUCCGCCUGCCCACUUCCUGCUGCAGCUCAGGGCCCUCCAGCCCGGCCUGGGCUCUGACUCGUUCCUGGCAUGAGUGCUGCUGUGCUCCCUGGUGCUCAGCCAGAUCCCAGGGCACAGGACAAUGCCUUGCCAGAGGUUGCCUUUGGGUGCCUGUGUCCAGCCUGGAGCUGGGUGGGGCACUGGGAUGCUGGGCUACUUGUGCCAAGACAGACCCUGCUCUGAGCCGGGCCCUGAGGCUGGCUGGAGGGCCACCUUGCGAGUCAGUCCCUCCUUUCCAUCUGUGAUCCUCUCUGGAAAAAGGUGGGGUUCACCUGACCAGCAGAUAGGCAUCCCAAGUCCAUGUGCUUCUCUGAGCCUCAGUUUCUUCACUGGAGAGGCGGGCCUAAUGUUUGAAUGUGUUGUGUUCACCAUGACAUGAGGGGCAAGUGUAAAGUGUAUAUGUGUGCAUGUGUGAGUUCAUGUGUGUGUGUGUCUAUUUACUUAAACCCAGCCUUGUUCCAGACUGGAUUUCAGGAUUCCUCUAAGAAGCUUUGGAAUGCCAGAAGAUACCACAAGUGAGAAGAAAAAAUAAGAGGAAGGACAUACUUCCCAUAUGGGGACAAAGUACAGCCACAGUGUCCUCCGCUUGGGCCAUGGAACAGCCGCAGGUUUUGCCCUGAUUACCCUGGUGGUAAAGUCUGAUUGGCUAUGACUCCCAGUGUCCAAAAGAUAAACACGGGCUGUGCAGUGGAGCCGCACACAUGCCUGUGCAUGGCCAUGCCAGGUCAGAAACCCAGCCCCUCUGCUUGGGAGGCACGCAGGGCUCUGGCUGAAGCCUGAAGCUUGCGAUCCUCAGAGCACAGACGUCCCAGGGCUGUGUGAAGUUAGUGAGACGAGGUGUACAGAGAGAGCUCAGGGAGGAGAGGGAGUCUCAAUUGCCGUCACCCGUGGCUCGGAGAUGCCUGUGACAGGUGACAGUGAUGUGCGUGGUGGUGUGUUCACUGAUGAUGCUACACUGUAGGCCCAGGGCUGUGUUGUGGUGACAGGUGUCCUCCUGAACCGUUUGACCUUUAGGGUGGCCCCCUUCACUCAAGCACUGGUCAUGGAGGGGCUCUGGUCACACAAGGACUCAGGCACGUUUUUGCCCCUGAGGAGCCCCCCAGCUUGGCAGGGCCCAGGGGCAGGGCGGGUGGGAUGGGUGUGCUCCAGCAGGUAGCAGGGACACCUGGCAAAUGGGGUCGAAUUGGGAGGCGUCUCAGGAGGUGGCCAUGGGCAGAGGGACAGGCUUCUGGUUCUUUGCCACUCUCCUCUUUGAAGUCCGGUGCCUGGGAACAGACCUGUGGUAGCUGCACCUGCUUGGGUAGGAAAUUGUGGGCUCUCUUCUCGCAGGGGGACAAGAGUCAUUUGCGGUACCUUCUGAGCAGGUGGGGGACAGCAAAGGACAAGAGGAGGCUGUGCCUGUGCAGCUGUGUGUCCCGGCACAGGCGCCACUUCACUCCCAUGCCACCACAUCCUCACUGGGUGACUUUGGGCAAGUGACCUGAACUCUGUGCCUCCAUCUCGUCUUCUGUAAAAUGGAUGGCACAUCCGAGCCCACCUCCCAGGCAGGGUGUUAUGAGGACAGGUGGGGGCACGUUCGCACAGUCCCCAGAAUGGUGCCCACGGCACCGGAGUGCUCCGUAGGGAAAUAGUGGCAGCUGGCACUGAGUCCCCAACAUAAGCCAGCACUGUGGGCCAGUGUUACGACUCCUGCUUUUGGGCACUUCACAAGCUAUGGCCAGGGGCCCACCACCUUUGGCCAUUCUUUCCCCACAAAAUUCCUGCCAGGGCCCUGCCAGAUCAAUAAGUCACAGGACUUCUCCAUCACAGAAGCCCAACUCUGUGACACCUCUUGGUCCCAGGCAUGUUCCUAUCCCCCAUUCAUGUGUUUUGUUAGGACCCUUUAGGGUUGCACGUGGCAGAAACUUAAUCCACACUAACUUUAGCAACUUUAGCGAAGAAGGAAUGUACUGGCUCCAGUCAGUGAAAAGUCCAGGAGGAGCCAUGCCUUCAGGCACGGCUGCAUCCAGGCACUCAACAGGUGCAUCCAGGCACUCACCAGGUGCAGCCAACACCUUGGCCCGCAGGCUGUCAGCUCCUGCCUUCUGCUGCAUGCGCGUCACUGUAGGUGGAUUUCUCCGCACAUGGGCGAGAUGGCCCCAGGAGCUCUGGCUCAUGGAGUCCUUGUAGCACCUGUCCUGGCCAUCCCCAGAAGAGAAAGCACCAUUUCCCAUGGCAGAAAUCUGGUGGAAACAGGAGAGAGGGGGUUGGCUCUCUUUGGUCGUAUCUGGGUCUUGUGCCCAUCUCUGGGAGAGAAAGGUCCUCACUCACAGAAACUGAGCAGAUCCUGGAUUGGAUGGGGAGAGAUGCUUUCAGACACACACACAUUCACUGCACUCACUGCAAGGAUAGUGACAAUAGUAGAAGCUGCUCUUUCUUGAGAAGUUAGGACGUGUGCCAGAAAAUUCUACCUUUUAAGGAUAUAGAGAGGUUUUUAUCAUCCCCAUUUUACAGAUGACAAAACUGAGGCUCUGAGAGGUGAAGUGAUUUGCCUAUGGAUGCAUAGCUAAGGUGUCCGAUGGAUCUGAUGGAAAGGUGGCAGGCGAAAUGCACCUGGCCUCAGCAUCAAGGGCCGUGAAUGCAGUGGCAGUCGUAGCUAUGUGGUCGGAGUGGACUAGGAUGGUCCUUCCACCAAGAAGGCUGGUCCUUCCUGCUCCUGAAUGUCCAGCUGCAGAAAGUGAUUGGGCUUGACACAACUGCCCCUUCCUCCACACACUCCCAAAUAUACCUACCCCCCCCAACCCAGUCCUCCUCGCCAGACUGUGGCUCCCGGAUGACAGGGCAGAGUUGGACUCACCUGUGCCUGCCAGGCCAGCUCACCAUGGGGGCAGGUCCCAAGAGGCCUCUGGAUUUGGACCAACUUCAGUGUGAGCUUGAACAAGCCCUUAGCCUCCCUCAGCCUCCGUUGCAUGAGGCGUUGUGCUGGUACGUCUCAGAGCAGGUGGCGCUACCUGGUGAGCCUGUCCAUCAGACAGGCUGUCCAUCAGAUAGAGCCUGGAUGGCUCUGUCCAUCAUCUUUGUCACUGUAAUGCUAGUUAACAAAUAAACAUGAAACAAUGAGUGGUCA
This is a long non-coding RNA of Cercocebus atys (sooty mangabey), 6521 nucleotides long. RefSeq lists it as uncharacterized. The transcript has 2 exons. Lineage: Eukaryota; Metazoa; Chordata; Mammalia; Primates; Cercopithecidae. The record is from RefSeq and is a predicted model, not a curated record.